RNAcentral lists this ribosomal RNA (463 nucleotides) under uncultured Leptolinea sp. RNAcentral describes it as "bacterial SSU rRNA". It matches the Rfam family "Bacterial small subunit ribosomal RNA", at positions 902 to 1382 of the family's 1533-position model. The record is from RNAcentral. Lineage: Bacteria; Bacillati; Chloroflexota; Anaerolineae; Anaerolineales; Anaerolineaceae.
CAAAGGAAUUGAGGGCCCCGCACAAGCAGCGGAGCGUGUGGUUUAAUUCGAUGUUACACGAAGAACCUUACCAGGGUUUGACAUGCAAGUGUAGGAAGCCGAAAGGUUGACCGACCCUUCGGGGAGCUUGCACAGGUGCUGCAUGGCUGUCGUCAGCUCGUGUCGUGAGAUGUUCGGUUAAGUCCGCUAACGAGCGCAACCCUCGCUGUGUGUUAUAUGUGUCACACGGGACUGCCGGUCUUAAGCCGGAGGAAGGUGGGGAUGAUGUCAAGUCAGCAUGGCCUUUAUAUCCUGGGCUACACACACGCUACAAUGGCCAACACAAUAGGUUGCUAAGCCGCGAGGUGGCGCCAAUCCAUAAAGUUGGUCUCAGUUCAGAUUGUAGGCUGCCAACCCGCCUGCAUGAAGAUGGAGUUGCUAGUAACCGCAGGUCAGCUAUACUGCGGUGAAUACGUCCGGGCUU